Molecule: transfer RNA, 76 nt
Filed under: Citrobacter freundii
Lineage: Bacteria; Pseudomonadati; Pseudomonadota; Gammaproteobacteria; Enterobacterales; Enterobacteriaceae
Also listed under: 3 other names
Description: tRNA-Phe
Rfam family: tRNA
About the family: Transfer RNA (tRNA) molecules are approximately 80 nucleotides in length. Their secondary structure includes four short double-helical elements and three loops (D, anti-codon, and T loops). Further hydrogen bonds mediate the characteristic L-shaped molecular structure. tRNAs have two regions of fundamental functional importance: the anti-codon, which is responsible for specific mRNA codon recognition, and the 3' end, to which the tRNAs corresponding amino acid is attached (by aminoacyl-tRNA synthetases). tRNAs cope with the degeneracy of the genetic code in two manners: having more than one tRNA (with a specific anti-codon) for a particular amino acid; and 'wobble' base-pairing, i.e. permitting non-standard base-pairing at the 3rd anti-codon position.
Source: RNAcentral
GCCCGGAUAGCUCAGUCGGUAGAGCGGGGGAUUGAAAAUCCCCGUGUCCUUGGUUCGAUUCCGAGUCCGGGCACCA